Molecule: ribosomal RNA, 200 nt
Filed under: uncultured bacterium
Lineage: Bacteria
Description: partial 16S ribosomal RNA
Rfam family: Bacterial small subunit ribosomal RNA
Source: RNAcentral
AGGCUGAAACUCGCCUCUUUGAAGUCGGAAUCGCUAGUAAUCGCAGAUCAGCAUGUUGCGGUGAAUACGUUCCCGGGUCUUGUACACACCGCCCGUCAAACCAUGGGAGCCGGAAAUGCCCGAAGUCAGUGACCCAACCAAUAAGGAGGGAGCUGCCGAAGGCAGGUCUGGUGACUGGGGUGAAGUCGUAACAAGGUAAC